RNAcentral lists this ribosomal RNA (253 nucleotides) under uncultured bacterium. Its description in RNAcentral is "partial 16S ribosomal RNA". It matches the Rfam family "Bacterial small subunit ribosomal RNA", at positions 524 to 776 of the family's 1533-position model. The record is from RNAcentral.
UACGAAGGGGGCUAGCGUUGCUCGGAAUCACUGGGCGUAAAGGGUGCGUAGGCGGGGCUUUAAGUCAGGGGUGAAAUCCUGGAGCUCAACUCCAGAACUGCCUUUGAUACUGAAGAUCUUGAGUUCGGGAGAGGUGAGUGGAACUGCGAGUGUAGAGGUGAAAUUCGUAGAUAUUCGCAAGAACACCAGUGGCGAAGGCGGCUCACUGGCCCGAUACUGACGCUGAGGCACGAAAGCUAGGGUAGCAAACGGG